UAGCAGAUUUUUUGAUAGUCGUAAUUAAAUAUUUUGGAUAGAUUUAAUUUUUGAAUGAAACACUUCCUUCUCGUUCAUUGCAUUAUCUGUUGCACUUCAAAUGCACAUAUUUAUGUUUAUCUGUUGUAGGGUUGCCAUACAACAAGUAUUAUUCGAAAUUGUAGGUAUUUUGGCUGUCAUUCCAGGAAAACUUUGUAUAGUUUUGAUAUACUUUAAGUAUUGAUUUUUGGAAAAUAUAAUAUUUUAGAGACAUGAUAACAAAUGUUAUCAUAGGUUUUUUAAGGCUGUUCUGGAAUGAUAUUUGUUAGGUUUUGUUUACUUCAAGGUCUGAUACAGAAACUGGAGUAAUUUUCAUUUAAUGAAUUAGAGUAUUUUAUUGUUUAUUCGUUUGCCACCCGGCUUUUGUUUUGGGUCCUUUAAAUUCGAGAUCAUUCAGUGCGCCGUUCUUUCUGUGACGAGAUCCUCUUGUAUAGUGAUCGGACGGCCGUAUAAGGGCCUGGAGCCCGGCAUGCCACGUGCUGCCGUGGCGUUCCAUAUUUUGUGUGGUGCGUUCUGUCAGUCUGACUGGCAGAAACAUGCUAAGGGUGGGAGUGCUCCUUGGAGAUCCUCGGUCUGCAGUCUGCAGGUCUCCGGUGAGCUCGCUUACAUUUUUUUGUUUAGUCUAUCACAGUGUGUGAGGGCACUCGACUAAUGUGACCAAUUUAUUUGUUUCAUAGGAGUCGGGAAGAAGUAAAGAAUUAGAGAAUUGCAGAAGUAGAUAAUUAAACAAGAACCUUUACAAUUUCAAUGUGCAAGGAAACUUCUUUGGCUUACUGGCGCAAGGUGUCUUUGGACCUUGUUUUCGUAUGGAAGGGUCAGCCCUGUCCACGUGGCGAGGGGGCGUCAGCACCGGAGUCCGGGGAGCAGCCGGCUCAUCCCUGACAAGGUGUGUCUCCUGCCCGUUUCCUGCCGGUAAUGCUGUGUAAUUCAGGUUUUAAUUUCUGUGUAAAGUAAUUUCUGAUUUCAUUUAUUUUGAGAAUUCUGGUGCAUAACUUUAGGUAAAUUCAUAUUUAGUUUUUUGUAGAAUAAAUGGUUGUAAGAAACCUUUUCCUGGACCCUCUUAAAGCGGCCCAGCUUUACCACUGAGCGUAGUUCUUAUUUCAUAUAUGGUGUCAAAUUUAGUAUUUUGGAAACAUUAACUUAAACCUAUCUGUAAGGCAAGAUUUUGGUAUAAUAAAUAUAUAAAAUGUGA
This is a long non-coding RNA of Leguminivora glycinivorella, 1231 nucleotides long. RefSeq lists it as uncharacterized. The record is from RefSeq and is a predicted model, not a curated record. The transcript has 2 exons. NCBI's taxonomy places the organism in Eukaryota, Metazoa, Arthropoda, Insecta, Lepidoptera, Tortricidae.